Molecule: unclassified non-coding RNA, 192 nt
Filed under: uncultured fungus
Lineage: Eukaryota; Fungi
Description: sequence contains ITS1
Source: RNAcentral
UUGAUUCAUUUCUCGCUGUACCCGGAAGAAUGCAGUGCACAAACAGAGUGUUGGGGCCCCCCGGCGGGCGCCUGGUUCCGGGCCGCCGCAGCGGCGCCGGGGCUGUCCGCCGAAGCAACGUCGAGGUAUGUUCGCGGGGGUUUGGGAGUUGUAAACUCGGUAAUGAUCCCUCCGCUGGUUCACCAACGGAGA